Molecule: ribosomal RNA, 446 nt
Filed under: uncultured bacterium
Lineage: Bacteria
Description: partial 16S ribosomal RNA
Rfam family: Bacterial small subunit ribosomal RNA
Source: RNAcentral
UCCAGACUCCUACGGGAGGCAGCAGUGGGGGAUAUUGCACAAUGGGGGGAACCCUGAUGCAGCGACGCCGCGUGGGUGAAGGAGCGUUUCGGCGCGUAAAGCCCUAUCGGCAGGGAAGAAGGAGGACGGUACCUGACUAAGAAGCCCCGGCUAACUACGUGCCAGCAGCCGCGGUAAUACGUAGGGGGCAAGCGUUAUCCGGAUUUACUGGGUGUAAAGGGGGCGCAGACGGCAGCGCAAGCCAGGAGUGAAAGCCCGGGGCCCAACCCCGGGACUGCUCUUGGAACUGCGCGGCUGGAGUGCAGGAGGGGCAGGUGGAAUUCCUGGUGUAGCGGUGAAAUGCGUAGAUAUCAGGAGGAACACCGGUGGCGAAGGCGGCCUGCUGGACUGCGACUGACGUUGAGGCCCGAAAGCGUGGGGAGCAAACAGGAUUAGAUACCCCAGUA